RNAcentral lists this ribosomal RNA (492 nucleotides) under uncultured bacterium. RNAcentral describes it as "partial 16S ribosomal RNA". It matches the Rfam family "Bacterial small subunit ribosomal RNA", at positions 29 to 507 of the family's 1533-position model. The record is from RNAcentral.
AGUGAACGCUGGCGGCGGGCCUAACACAUGCAAGUCGAACGGCAGCACAGUAAGAUCGUGCUCUUACGGUUGGCGAGGGACGGGCGGGUGAGGAAUGCAUCGGAAUCUACUUUGUCGGGGGGGAUAACGGAGGGAAGCUUACACUAAUAGCGCAUACGAUCUACGGGUGAAAGCAGGAGUUAAUGAGAGCUUGCGCGACUGAAUGAGCCGGUGUCGGAUUAGCUAGUUGGCGGGGUAAAGGCACACCAAGGCGACGAUGCGUAGCCGAUCUGAGAGGAUGAUCGGCCACACUGGAACUGAGACACGGUCCAGACUCCUACGGGAGGCAGCAGUAGGGAAUCUUCGGCAAUGGGCGAAAGCCUGACGCAGCAACGCCGCGUGAGUGAAGAAGGUCUUCGGGUUGUAAAGCCCUCUUGUUGGGAAAGAACAGAUGUAGAAGAAACUCUCGCUGUCCUGACGGUACCCAAUCAAUAAGCAACGGCUAACUUCGUG